Molecule: ribosomal RNA, 227 nt
Filed under: uncultured bacterium
Lineage: Bacteria
Description: partial 16S ribosomal RNA
Rfam family: Bacterial small subunit ribosomal RNA
Source: RNAcentral
GAUGAACGCUAGCGGCAGGCCUAAUACAUGCAAGCUGAACGGCAAGAUUUGUAGCAAUACGAGUCCUAGAGUAGCGUAAGGGUGCGUAACACGUAUGCAAUCUGCCCGCAACAGGAGGAUAGCUUAGCGAAAGUUGAGAUAAGACUCCAUAAGAUCACGAGAGGGCAUCUGAUUGUGAUUAAACUACAAGGGGUUGCGGAUGAGCANGCGUCUGAUUAGUUAGUUGG